Molecule: long non-coding RNA, 8585 nt
Filed under: Lathyrus oleraceus (garden pea)
Lineage: Eukaryota; Viridiplantae; Streptophyta; Magnoliopsida; Fabales; Fabaceae
Description: Pisum sativum (pea) long non-coding RNA (PSAT_LNC030332)
Source: RNAcentral
UUUUAUUAAAAUAUAAAAAAAAAGGAAUUUUUUAAAAUAAAAGUUAAGAGAAAGGACAAGAGAAAAUAUUUAAUUGAGAUGGAGAUAGUAUGGUAUAAUCAACCAUGAGGGUUGGGAACGAGGAUUAGAUUUCGAAGUUUGUGGAUUGAGUUAGGGUUAGAAGGAUGAAGAAAAAAAAGGUUUGGAUUUAGAAUUUGUGGAAAGACGAUAAAUUUUUGGAUGAGAAAUCGGUCCAGAUAGGUUUGAUUUGAUGAUUUUUAAAUGAAGGUUGAAGAUGAGAUUCAUAAGGAAAUGGAGUUAUGAGUUUGAUAUUCUGGAUUUGUUGUUUGUUGGUUGAAAGAAGUUAUUAAGAAGGAUGAAUUUGUUUGUAAUUUUGGUUGAAGGUCUUCGAAUGUCCUGGGUUUGGGAUGAAGAUUCAGAAAGAUGUUCUUAGCAUAUGAAUUUCUAGGUUUGUUUUUGUGGUUUCUUGAAGAGGUGAAGUUUUGGGUUUGAUUUUUUGAAUUUGUUGGUUGUGGAUGGAAGGAAUUUGUUAGGAAAGAUGAAUGUGUUUGAAAUUUUAGUUGAAAUUUUUGAUUUAGUUGAGGUUGUGGAUAAAGGUUCAGAAAGAUCUGUUUGAAGAUAUGAGUGUCUGGGUUCGUUUGAAUUUUUUGAGCUAUUCUUGAAUUUUGGUGGUUGUUCUUGAGGUUUAUGAGAACUAAGAUGAAUAUGGAUGAAUUUUUGAAAAUGAUAUAUGAAUGUAGGGUGAGAGGAUUUGAAGGUAAAAAUAGAGAAAAAAAAGGGAAGAGAGAGAAAUGAAAUAUGAAAUAAUGAGAUAGGAUAAGAAUGAAUAUGAGUUUAGAUGUGAAAGGAUAAGAGUGAAAUCUUGGAGAACCAGUAAGGAGAUGAUACGAGAAUGGAGACAUGAAUGAAUGAUAGUUGACAGAAGAGAAUCCUGAGCAACAAAUGGGAAUGGAGAUUUGUUGAUUGUGAUGUUGUUGUCAUUGAUGUCUCAAAAAUUAAUAAAUAUUUGUCAAAUUAAAAUUAAAAUUUAAAAGUAUUUUAUAAUUGACAUAUUUAUUAUUUGUUAAUAAAGAAGAUGUAGUAAUUUAUUUAAAAUAAACUUGAAGUUAUUAAAUUUAUUAUUUAAUUUUGGAAGUUAUUAAAUUUAUUAUUUAAUUUUGGAAGUUAGUAAAUAAAAAAUAUAAAGUGGAACUUUGGUAGUAUUUUUAUAAUUAAAAUUAAAUUAAUUCAAAUACGGUGGUUACAAUUAUGAUUACAAAUUUAUGUUCAUAAAAUUAGAUGAUAAUAUUUUUUAAUAUUUUAAAAAUCUUAUAUAUUUGUUAAAUAUUUUAUUAUAAAAUAGAUGCAGAAUAUUGGUUUAUUAUGUAUAUCUUUAUUCAAAAGAUAAGAAAAAAAUAUUUUCAAAAUAUUCUAUUUUGAAGUUUAUAAUCUAUAAUUCACUAAUGACAAAAAAAAACUUCAUUAUCUUAUAAUAUUAACAAUAUAUUAGAAUUUUAUAGAAAACCUUAAAAUUACAAAUAUUGUAACACAUUAAAACCUAAUCAAUUGUAUUAAACUUUAAAUUUAUGCUAAGAUGUUACUUUAUUUUUUAAUCUAUAUCUUUUGAUUUUAAUUAAAAAAUAAAUUUAAUUGAUAUACACCGUUAAUAUAAAAGAAUUUUACACAGUCAAUAAAUUAUAACCGUUGAAUAUUGAGACAAGUUUGAUUUUUAUUUUUAAAAUUUAUAAAAUAAUACAAACGGAUGAUGAUGAUGAAUUGAUAGUGUAAAAUUUUUUACACUAACAUUGCAUAUUAAUUAAUCUCUUAAAAAAUUUACCAUUAAAUCAAUAAAUACAUGAAUGGAUGGAGCAAAAAUUUAUAAUAAAGUGAUAGUUACUCUGAGUCAAAUAUAAUAAAAUUUUAAUAAUUUUUUUAUCGUGGAAAUGAUAUCAAACUGGAAAAAAUUAUGGAUCUAAAUAUCAAAAAAUGAAAAUUUAUGGACUGUUUUUUUAAAUAUCAUCAAAUAUCAUAAGACUCAUUCACUGUGGUAGUAAAUAAUUUCUUUAAAGACUAAUAAAUUUUGAUUUCAGUUAAUGCUUCUAUGAUUAAUAUUUUUUAGUUUUAACAAUUUUUGUUGCAUAUUAUUUAUUGUAGUUUAAAUCAAUUUAUUGUUCUUUAAUAUUUUAUAAUAAGAUUUCAGUUAUUUAUUGUUACAUACUAUUUAUAGCCAAAUAUUAUAAAUGAUAGUAAUUUAUUAUUUAUAAUAAUAUGAUUUCACUUAUUUAUUGUUACAUACUAUUUAUUUUUUAAUUUGAUUUCAGUUUAUAUGAUUUAAAUUUUUAAUAAACGGUAUUAUUUUUAUAAAGAAAAAAUAAUAUAUUAUUGAUACAAAUACUUUUAUAAAUUAGAAAAUGUGUAGUGUUGAUAAAAUAUUUUUAUGAACAAAAAAUAUAUAUAGUUGAUAUAAAUACUUUAAUAAACGAAAAAAAGUUUAAUGUUUAUUAUAAAUAGAAAAAAAAAAGUAUAUUAUUGAUAUAAAUACUUUUAUAAACAACAAUUUUUUAUAUACGGUUCAUCUAAAUUUUUUAUGAAUGGUAUUAAAAUAAAAAUAACUUUUAUAUAUGUAAAAAAUAUAUUGUUGAUUCAAAUAUUUUAAUACACAAUGUUUCUUUUAUAAAAGAGAAAAAAUUUAUUAUCAAUUCAAAUAUUUUUAUAAAUAAUAUUAAAACAAAAUAACGUUUAUAUAUGAAAAAAGUCUACUGUUAAUCCAAAAAAUGUUAAUUUUCCACGUAAAAUUUUCUAAUACAACUUUAAUAAAACAAAACCUUUUAAUAUUGAUCAGUUUUAUGAGAAAAAACACAUUCAUCUAUUCCACAACAAAAACAACAACUUCCGCAUAGAAAGUGUUACAUAAGUACUCUCCAACACUUAAUGCUCCUAUUCAAACACAAUUUUAAAAAUUUGUUCAUUGAACUGACGAUGAAAAGUUGAAAACAUAUAUAAAAAAAAUGCUUUGUUGAGUUUCUUUUCUCCUUCAACUUGAAUCAAAGUCCAAGUACAUUCUAUAAGCAUUUCUAUCCGAAGAGUAGUAACUUUCAACCAAACAAUCAACUUGGAAACCAUGCUUCUUGUACAGAUUCAGUGCAGGGGUUCUCAACGGAUCCACGUGAAGCAUUAUACAGGAAACUUUUCUUGUCCUGCAUUUUUCGAUUGCCGCUUUCAAUAGAACCUCUCCGUGUCCUUGCCUCCUCCAUUGCUCUUUCACUAAAAGAAAACCAAAACAUCUCAUUGGCUCAAUCCAAGCAUUUUUCAUUAGUAAAGAAAACAAUUUGAAAUACCAAAACACUCUUAGGCAAUUUUUCAAACAGCUUAUAGGCAUAAACUGAUAGCAUACAAAAGAUGAAACUUUAAAUGAAACUAUUAGUUUAUGACCUUGGAUCAAUGUGAUAAACAUGAAGUAAAAAGGUGGGGUUGGAACCUGCGAGUUUGGUGAUAGAAGCAUAUAACGAGGAAGGCCAGGAAUACAUGACAUAGCCUGCAAGUUCGCCAUCCACGUGAAGAUAGAGCAAUCCACUGUUCUUCUUUUUCAAUUCAUUUUCAAAGAAGGAAGCGAGUGAUUCGUGUUUUGGAAAGAUCUUUCUCUCCAAUUUCACUAUCUCUGCCACAACCUUACCACAAUUUUUGUCAAGUUCGCUAAUCGCCACAUUAGCCAUGACUCGCGAGUAAGUUAAAAUAAAUCUUCUGGUUCUAUUUCUCUACACACCAGAAUGUUUUAGAGGAUAUUAAUAUUGAAUUAUAGUUAAAAGAACUCAUUUUUCUUUUAUUUGUAAAAUUCAAUUAAAAACUUCUAUAAGUAAAAUAUUUUUUUAUUUUUCAAAUGACAACCGUUACUAUCAUAAUAGAUAAUGUAAUCUACUUUUUUUAAUAUAUGAAAGUUCAUACCCGCCAUUUUUACAUCUAAAUCCAAAUUAAAUUUGAUUAAACAUCUAUUUUUAUUCCCUUACAUGUAAUUUCAAUCCUAAUCUUUUAACAUAACAUCCUGAAUAAUAUACAUUUACAAAAUAUAUUAUACGCAAGGUUAAUUGUUAUUGAUAUAACAUAAGAGUCUAUCAACCUUCAUUAUAUAUACAUGCCCAAACAAAAAUAUACAACUAUACAUGAUAUACAAGAGUGCUUAACCAAAAACUAACAUAUAUAUACAAUAUCCACAUUGCACAUAAUCCACAGUGAAGGAUUACGAUAACGAAAGUCUUCGAAACAUCAUCAGACAAUCUUGUACUUGUUUUUAACCUGCAAAGAAUCGUCGGAAAAACAACAACAAUAAUGGGGUGAGAUGAUAAUCUCAGUGAGUUCCCAUAUCCUAUGAGUCAACGCUGUAACAUCCUGAGUUCAAUCAUUUGAUUUAAUCAAAUUGUUUAAGAUUUUAUUCAAAUUAAUUGUCCCGCUAAAUUGUUUAUGAUGUAGUGGUAGGGCAAGUGUCAUUGAAAUAGAGGUAUAGGGAGAGUAUGAGUCGGGCACUGGUGUUUAGAAUUAUUAGAGUUUUAAUGAAUUUUAAAAUAAUAUUUAUAUUUAUUUUAUAAUUAAAAUAAUGAGGAAAAUUAGAUGUGUAGAAGAAGUGGGGGCAUGGUUGGGAAUAAGGAAGAUAUGGAGGAUAGAAUGGGGAAUACAAUGGUAAGAUGGGGGUAUUAUAGGAAGAGACCAUUUUGAAAGGAAAUAAGUCUUGAAAACAAAUAGAGAAUUGAGAACCUAGAGAGUCAUAACGUGUUUUUCGGAGUUAGAUCAAAAGAGGAAAAAAGGAAGAGCAAAGGCUUAAGAUUGAAGAACUCAAGGAAAUCAAAGGUUUUUUUGGAUGGAAAUCAGGUAAGGGGGAGAUGUGCUUAUUUAAAGGAUGUUAGAACAUGUGGGGUAGAUGGAGGAACCCUUAACUUCCUUAGGAUUGGGUAUUGUAGAUCUAAAUUCUGAUGUCGUGUUAUCACUUUUGAUUGUAUGAUGAAUUAGGGUGAAAUUUGUGUAUUAUAUGGAUGUAUAUGAUGUUUUGAUGUGGUUGGUCAUGAUAUGCCAUUGAUUGAUGUUUUGAAGGUUUUUAACCUUGAUUGUGUUCUUGAUAAUUUAAAGAUGAUGAUGAUGAGAAAACUAGGUAAGGAAGUUGGAUAUGCAAGGGGAAGGUAUUAACACUCAUUACAUUCGUUAUACUCAACGACAACCGUUUUGAUUGUUCUUGCUUGAAUGGAUGGUAUUCUAAGGUUACUCGCGAAAGCAUAAGGGGAAAAGAAAAAGAAUAGAUAAAGUGCUCAAAGAAGAUUAUGGCUCUCAUGCCUACGUAUCCUUAUAGUGCAAUAAGGAAUUCAUAGCUUUGUAGUUCAUAGAACUAAUGGUGGGAGGUGAAAAGAGAAUGAUAACAAAUAUGGUUUGAACCAAAGGAUAUUGUGGUUUGACUCCAAAAAGGGAAGAAAUCCGAGCCCAAGAGUAAAAUUGGCAUUAACCAAUAUGUAAGUAGCCUGAAGCAUUCUCCACUAUAUGGUACGGCCGAAAACAAAUAGAAUUAAAUGUUUGGUUUCAUAGACAAACAACUCUUGGCUCACAAGCAGACAUAAGAUGAAGCUCAAAGAAAUGGUGUAUUUGACUCAAAGAUAAUAGUAUAUCACAUGAAGUGAAUGAAUGUAAAAUUAUGAAUGCAUCAUGGAAAUGAAUGGAGGAAUAGAGGAAGAAUGAAUAAAUAUGUUCGCAGAGGAUUCAGACCCUCGUGCCUACGUAUUCUUAUCGUGCAAUUAUAAAGUCAGAGCUUCAUAGUUCGUGGAACUAAUGCGGCAUAAGGAAACGAUUGAUUGGAUUACUCAGAGGCAAAGCAAAUUGCUUAACAAGUAAGAGUGUGGCAUUAACCUAAUGGUGGUAAUCAACCAUAGUGACAAAUGAGAUACGAUUUACCUACACACAAGAGGAUUUAUAAGACAAUAGAGAUUUGUCUAAGCACAAGAGAUCUUAUAAGAUGAGCAAUGAAUAAGAGGUGACUUUCCACUACACAAGAGGAUUUACAAGGCAAAAGAGCUCAACGGGUUCUCCUAAGCACGAGAGGUCUUAGAAGGAGAACAAUGAAUAUGAGAUAAGUUUCCAACACAAGAGAGGGUUUACAAGGCAAAAGAGCUCAAGAGAGUUGUCUAAGCACGAGAGGUCUUAUAAGACAAAUAAUGAUUGGGGGUUUGUCAAAGAACAAGAGGACUGAUAAGGAAAACAAUGAUUGAUUAGAGUAGGCCUAAGCACAAAGGGACUAACAAGGCUCAUAAUGAUUGAAUAUGGUUUGCCAAAGCACAAGAGGACUGAUAAUGCAAACAAUGAUUGUAUUGAUUGAUUUAGGAUUCAAAGACUACCAAGGAUAUUUGAAUAUCAAAGAGAUUAUGAUUGGUGAUCCAAAGAGGGAAGAGAAUGAUUGAUGUGCUAGCUUGAAGAAGACUUGUCAAUUAUAUGAUUCAAAUUGCACUAAAAUCUAUGAGCAAAGGUGAAUACCUUGAGCAACUGAGUCAUUCGUCCCAUACCUAAAGAUACCCUAUACAAGGAUAGGAAUUCUCCACUCUCAUUAUUCUUUGUUACUUAAGGCUCAUGGCUUAAAACUUGAAUCAGAAUUGACAAGUUGCUAAUAGGAGAUCUUGAUGAUUAAUCUUGAUGAUGCAAUGCUACUUAUUGUAGAAGAAGACUUGACAAUUAUUUUAUUUGAAUUGUGCUAAAAUCUAUGAAUAAAGGGGAAUAUGAUGAGCAACUGGGUCAUUUGUCCCGUACCCAAAGAUAUUCAAAAUGAGUUAAUGGAAUUAUCCACUCUCAUUUAUUCUCUAUUUCUUAAGGCUCGUGCCACACAAUCUGAAUUAUGAUUGACAAGUGUUGAUACCUUUGAUGUGCUUGAGAAGUAGUCCACUUUGUCAGUUAUGCUUGAUUGGUGUUGACUUUGAAGUCUUGAUCUUAGAUUUGAACCUUGAGGUCUUGAGCUUCUAAGAUCCAGCAUAUCGAAUAUAGCUUAAGCACAAUGGGAUUGCCGUAUUAAGUGAUCAAGAGUCUUUUGAUCCCUUGAAUAGGCUUGGGGAUUACAAUACAAUACAAAGGAUUUGGUUGACCAAAGUGACCUUUGGUCAACACUAAUAAUCAGUGGGAUUGAAAUUAUAGUUGAAACAAGUACACAACAAAUUUAAAGAUUAAUAGUCAAUUUACACCAGAUGAUCUUUAGCGGGCCCUAAAACUAGGGGGACAUGCAUCUCAAGAUUUUAAAAUCCUAAGUACCAAGGUUAAUUGCACAAUCAAGAUCUAGUUACAAAUAAACAACCCUAAUUAUCUAAUUAUAUUUUAAUCAAACUUAGAAUCUAAUUAUCACCAAACUAAUUCUAAAAUCCUAAGCAAAUUCUAAAAUCCUAAUCAACCUCUAAUUUAAUUAAGAUCUAAAACCUAAUUAAUCUAAUCAACUCUAGAAGUUUAACGAACCUAAAAUUCCAAAUCUUCCUAAUUAAGUUCUAUAUUUCUAAUCAAUCAUAGAAAUCUAAAAUUUCCAACGAACCUAAUAUUCUAAUCAACAUCUAAAUAAAAUAUAAAAUUCUAGUCUAAAUCUAAAAUCCUAAUUAACCUUAAAAUUAUAAAAUUCUAAAGAUUCUACUCCAAUUCUAAUUAAUCUAAAUAAAUUUAAAUAAAUUAAAUGAAUAAAUUAGGAAAGGGCCAGGGGUGUAGGCCAAAUGUGUCGGGGUAGAGUGGACAUAGGUAUGCAACCCGUUUGGGCCUUGGGCCAAAAUCGGGUCUAAGCUGCGAUGCAUUUGAGAAAAUUUUACCUUGUACCCCUACAAUUAGCCCCAUACCCCUAUAAAAUUUUAAAAAUUCCCAUUUUAUCCUUAAUUGGUUUUAACCAAUUUACCAUUUCAUUUUUACCAUUCAGUUGAAAAUUUCAGAAAUUACACUUUCACACCCCUCGCACCGGAACUCCUGCAAAAAGACUUCCGGUAUGUAUUUUUUCAAAUCGGAAGACUUUAGGAAUGACUUCCGGAACACACAAAAAAGCAAACCGGAACACUUCAUGAAAGAGUUCCGGUUCAAUUAAAAAAAAUUUACAAAUCCGGAACACUUCUUAAAAGAGUUCCGGUGAACAAAUUUUACAUACCGGAACUCUUUGGAGAAGUGUUCCGGUAUGUAUUAUGUGUGUUCCGGAAGUCUUUCUUUAAGUCUUCCGGUACGUUUUUUUUUUUUUUUUUAAUUUUUUUUUUGCAGAAAUGGAAAAUCUUCCCAAAAUAUGUGUAAAUACUACUGAUGCGUUUAUGACGACGGAAAGAUUUGGUACACGAGAAGAGGUUAUCAGAUGGAUUAAAGAGGUUGGAAUCGACAAUAAAGUAACUGUUAUUAUCAGUCGCUCCGAUACUGAAACGGGGAAGAGAGGGAGAAGUAACAAAAUAAUAUUUGGUUGUGAUAAAGGUGGGAAACACAAGAUUAGUGAUAGUGGUACCCAAAGUGCGUCCAAGAAAUGUGGAUGUCCAUUUAAAAUCAGGUCGACUUCGGCGAAAGAUGGAUCUGGUUGGAAGAUUGAUGUAAAAUGUGGGUUACAUAAUCAUGGUUUACCUGAUAGAUUAGAAGGUCAUUCGUUUAUU